ACGAGUAUAGUUAAGUAGGUAUAGCAUCUACCUUCCAAGUAGAGAUCAUCAGUUCGAAUCUGAUUACUCGUA
RNAcentral lists this transfer RNA (72 nucleotides) under Fomitiporia mediterranea. RNAcentral's name for it is "tRNA-Gly". It matches the Rfam family "tRNA". Rfam says of the family: Transfer RNA (tRNA) molecules are approximately 80 nucleotides in length. The record is from RNAcentral. Lineage: Eukaryota; Fungi; Basidiomycota; Agaricomycetes; Hymenochaetales; Hymenochaetaceae.